This 224-nucleotide long non-coding RNA is filed under the name Mytilus galloprovincialis (Mediterranean mussel). The record is from RNAcentral. Lineage: Eukaryota; Metazoa; Mollusca; Bivalvia; Mytilida; Mytilidae.
AAAAAAGAAGAUGUGGUAUGAUUGCCAAUGAGACAACUGUCUACAAGAGACCAAAAUGACACAGACAUUAACAACUAUAGGUCACUGUACGGCCUUCAACAAUGAGCAAAGCACAUACCGCAUAGUCAGCUAUAAAAGAUAUGACAAUGUAAAACAAUUCAAACGUGUAAACUAACGACCUUAUUUAUAUAAAAAAAAAAAUGAACGAAAAACAAAUAUGUAAC